Molecule: ribosomal RNA, 254 nt
Filed under: uncultured bacterium
Lineage: Bacteria
Description: partial 16S ribosomal RNA
Rfam family: Bacterial small subunit ribosomal RNA
Source: RNAcentral
UACGUAGGGUGCGAGCGUUAAUCGGAAUUACUGGGCGUAAAGCGUGCGCAGGCGGUUGUGUAAGACAGGUGUGAAAUCCCCGGGCUUAACCUGGGAACUGCGCUUGUGACUGCACGGCUAGAGUACGGCAGAGGGGGGUGGAAUUCCACGGUGUAGCAGUGAAAUGCGUAGAUAUGUGGAGGAACACCGAUGGCGAAGGCAGCCCCCUGGGCCGAUACUGACGCUCAUGCACGAAAGCGUGGGGAGCAAACAGG